Molecule: ribosomal RNA, 254 nt
Filed under: uncultured bacterium
Lineage: Bacteria
Description: partial 16S ribosomal RNA
Rfam family: Bacterial small subunit ribosomal RNA
Source: RNAcentral
UACGUAGGUGGCGAGCGUUGUCCGGAAUUAUUGGGCGUAAAGAGCGUGUAGGUGGGAUCAUAAGUCUUUUGUCAAAGUGCGGGGGCUCAACCCCCGUGAUGCGGAGGAAACUGUGAUUCUUGAGUGCCGGAGAGGAAAGCGGAAUUCCCAGUGUAGCGGUGAAAUGCGUAGAUAUUGGGAGGAACACCAGUGGCGAAGGCGGCUUUCUGGGACGGUACUGACGCUGAGACGCGAAAGCGUGGGGAGCGAACAGG